CUACGGGGCGCAGCAGUGGGGAAUAUUGGGCAGUGGGCGCAAGCCUGACCCAGCAACGCCGCGUGAGGGAAGAAGGUUUUCGGAUUGUAAACCUCUGUCCUUGGGGACGAAGAAGUGACGGUACCCAAGGAGGAAGCUCUGGCUAACUACGUGCCAGCAGCCGCGGUAAUACGUAGGGAGCAAGCGUUGUCCGGAAUUACGGGGCGUCAAGGGUGCGUAGGCGGCAUAUUAAGUCAGGUGUGAAAUACUCGGGCUCAACCCGGGGGCUGCAUUUGAAACUGAUAUGCUGGAGUGUGAGAGAGGAAAGUGGAAUUCCUAGUGUAGCGGUGGAAUGCGUAGAUAUUAGGAGGAACACCAGUGGCGAAGGCGACUUUCUGGCUCAUAACUGACGCUGAGGCACGAAAGCGUGGGGAGCAAACAGGAUUAGAUACCCCUGUAGUC
This 441-nucleotide ribosomal RNA is filed under the name uncultured bacterium. RNAcentral describes it as "partial 16S ribosomal RNA". It matches the Rfam family "Bacterial small subunit ribosomal RNA", at positions 339 to 795 of the family's 1533-position model. The record is from RNAcentral.